GACGAAGGGGGCUAGCGUUGUUCGGAAUUACUGGGCGUAAAGCGCGUGUAGGCGGUUGCCCAAGUCGGGUGUGAAAGCCUUGAGCUCAACUCAAGAAAUGCACUCGGUACUGGGUGACUAGAGGACCGGAGAGGAUAGUGGAAUUCCCAGUGUAGUGGUGAAAUACGUAGAGAUUGGGAAGAACACCAGUGGCGAAGGCGGCUAUCUGGACGGUUUCUGACGCUAAGACGCAAAAGCGUGGGGAGCAAACAGG
Molecule: ribosomal RNA, 253 nt
Filed under: uncultured bacterium
Lineage: Bacteria
Description: partial 16S ribosomal RNA
Rfam family: Bacterial small subunit ribosomal RNA
Source: RNAcentral